AUGACAGCCAGACAAAAAUGCCCGCGACCCCUCGGAAUUCCACACAUAGCUCUCAUAGCUGGGGAGGGCGCCACUCCGGGCCACUCCGGGAGCCCGCACCCCAGCGGCCUGCGCCGGCUCCUUACGAGAAGAGGAAGAGUGCCCUGCCGGUGGAGGCUUCCAAAAGUUGGCGGGCUGGGAUGCGUAGCAGGAAAAGAAUGUGAAAAAUGUGCCUGGCGGGGCGGCGGCCAGGAGGGAAGGGCCUUCGAGGAGCGGCUCGCGGGCCCAGGGUGCUGGUGGCCUGAAGGCGGUGUGGCUGAGGACCCCUCCUGGCAGCACCAGCCCCCCCCCCGCUGUUAAAAGGAGGGAGGUCAGGGAUGAGGUCUGGGCUGCGGGGAACCGUGUUUCUGCACCCAGGGGGCUCGGGCUUCUGAGAGCCGGGGGGAGGCGGCUGGGGGGUUUCGUGUGGGCAGUUCCAGGCUCCGAAUGUUCCCUGACAGCCCUGGGGCCCCUCGGGGAGGCCCACUCACAUCUCUUCGGCAAGGUGCGAACUCACCAGGCCCAGGGCUGCAGAGGCGGGCCUGAGACUAACUCCCACGUGGGGAAGCAAGGCCAGGGCUGAUGGCACCUGAAAUGAGGUGAGCGGGGCUCCGGAGUCGGUCCUUCCAGGAACCCACCGCUCAACCAUCCCGUGUCUCCCACACAGACACGUCUUCAGGAAGCGGCAGGAGCAUCAACGAGACCCAGCCUCCGGCCCCGGGAGCCCCAGGGCAGCCCUCCUCAGGGCCAGGGUAUGCGUGCCUGUCGGAGAUGAAACAGGUGUGGGGGGCUUCCCUCUACGAUGACCCCCAGUGACUGCGUACGAUCCCCUGGCCUUGAGUGUGGGUGGGACCUGAGUAGAGGAGCCAAGCUCGCUCCAGGGAAAGACUCUGCCAUGUGGCAGCAGCUUUAAGGCGGGGAGACUGCCCUUGGUGGGCCUGAUAGAAUCAGGGGAGCCCCUAAAAGGGUGGAGAAACUAUCUGAAGCUUGGAAGGGAUUUGGUGCAGAGAGAUCCCUGCUGCCGGCUCUGAAGAUGGGGGGCUGGGGCAUGGAAUGGGGGCGGCCGCUAGGAGCUGACAGCCAGCAAGGGAGUGGGGACCCCCAUCCUGCAGUUGCAAGGGGCGGAAUUCUGGAGCAAUCUGAACGGGCCCAGAGACCUCAAGCUCCAGAGGAGACAUUCUGACUUCGGCCUGGUGAGACCCCGAGCCGGGAAACCAGCCACGCCAUGCCCGACCUCUGACCUCCAGACCUGCGAGCCAGCUCCUUUGGGACAGUUUGUCACACAGAGCAGAGCUGGCCCACAGGCCAGGGCGAGGCCGGAACAGGGUCCCCGGACUGGGGCCGGCUUCGCUCUAGCACUCUCUGUGCAGGACGUGGGUCCACAGCCCGGGAUGGUCCCAGCUGGCCUUCGCUCUCACCGCUGAGUGUGGACACUAAGCUCAGCGUGCUGCGUUCACGACUCCUGCCAUUCUCCUCCUUCCCUGCCCAGAGAUGUGGGCACGGCAUCCGAACCAGCGUGGUGCCCCGCAGUGCUCCGUUAGUGGCCGCAGCCAGCCCUGGGGCUCCGGUAGGCUGCGGCGCGAGGGCGCGUGCAGGUCACCUCCGGCCGCACGGCCUCGCGACGCCCAGCUCGGACAGCCCGGCUGCUCCUCUCCAGCCCCCUCACGGGGCCGCCGGGCUCGUGGGGCCGGGACCGGGAGUCAGAGCCCCUGGAAGUUUGGCUGGAAGGGGGUGGGGGCCCUUGGGGCUGCAGAGGCUGGGAGGGCAGGGGGCAGACGCACAGCGACCCCUCGUCUUCAGGGAGAACAGAAAUAGCCUCCAGUUUGCUUUAAAACUUCCAGAACCAGCAACUGUGCAGCUCAGAGCUUCUGAAUCUGUGUCUCCCGGGGACAAGAGGGAGACGCCCGCCCCUGCCAGCCAUCACUUGGGAAGAAAAAACCCAAACCCAAGAAACACUAAGGGGCAGCCGGAUUCUAGGGGGGCGGGGGGCACAGUGCUGGGGGGGGAAUGCAGCCCCCACCCCCCUCCGCCGGGGAGGACUGCUCCUGGGUACACGGCGUGCGGAAGGAGAGACAGGGUGUUGAUGUCGACAGAGGAAAAAAUCCCAAAGCAAACAGAGGGAGACAGAAGAGGGGGCGAGGAAGCUCCGAGGUGCCGGCCCAAGAAGCCGCCCCCUCACAGGGCCUGUGGGUGGCACAGUCACUUAGAUCAGCGCCCGCGGUGCGUGAGGCCCUGGCCCCGCACGCCUCCAGGGGUAGCCUUCGCACUGUAGUGCUGUCGUGAGACCCCCUGGAACAGGGACCCUCACCCAGGGGGACCGCGCCCCCAGGGGACACUGGGAGGUGCCCGGGGACGUCUGUGGUCCUCACGACUAGGGGUGCUCCUGGCACCGAGGGGGGGGCCAGGGAUGCUGCUGACCCCCCCUGCAGCGCCAGGGAUGCCCCCGGCGGAGAGGACCUGCCCAGAUUGUCAGCAGCGUUGGGGGCAGCCGGGGGAGACCCUGUGCCAGACUCCAGAGAAACGUGCACACGGCGAGGACAGCACAGCCUGGACACAGGCCAGAAAGUCAGAGGGAGGGGCAAGUGCCUCCCUGUGUCCCCAGAAGCUGGGCUGGGGUCACGCCACAGUGGGGACCUCCGAAGAGCCCCGGGAGCCAUGUUGGCAUUUGAACUUCAAUACUAGGCAGACACAAAACCUCUUUAACCCCCAACCCUGGCCUCCGCCACCCACCUCUGAAGCCCGUCCGAGGUUCCAAGCACUGGGUCCCCCACCCCCCUCCCGCGGCCUCUCCGGGGUCACAGUCACCCUGGCCUGGUGUGGGGCGGGCCGGCCACGUGAGGGCCUCCUCUGAGCCUUUGUGCAUCCGUGACCUUUUGGUGGGGUGGGGGGCAGGGAAGCUCCAGUUGGGAUUUUGCCAGGUGGAUGUUUCCCAAGAGAAGCCACGGACCCCUUGGAAAACAGCGUCUCGUGACUCCCCUGUCAGCCUGGUCCUUUUGUGCGCGGGCUAAAUCGGUCCCCCGGGCGGCUAUAUUUAGAAAGGGCUGGGGACUCGGGAAUGAAUGAGGUGCCCACAGGCGAGGGAAAAACAGCGCUGCAGGGCACACGGUGCUGCCGGGGGCUGAGAGCGCAGCGCCCAAGAAUGAGCCGGCUUGUGGGCGCGGGUGGUGACCAAGGGUGACGAUGUGGCUGAUGCGGGAGCAGAAGAGAAGGCUCCCUCUGUCACCGGGCGAUGACUGCAGUCAUGUGAGGGUUUGCAAGCCCGAUGGCUGGGCCGGGACACUGAGCACUCCUGCCCUUGGCCUCUGAGCACUGAGGAAGCGCCGUCACCCAGGCCCCGUGAGGGGCAGGAAGGCCGGGGGUGGGGGGAGGGCAGACGCAGCCUUCCCACCUUGGUUCGGGCAGGUCCUUCCCCCCAACCCCCCACGCGCGGACGAACUCCUACAUCCCCCACAAAGCCCUGGGAACAUCAUCCCCUCUGAGAAGGUGCCCAGCCAGUCUGCGCAAGAACCCUUCUUGGGGUGUCCUCAGCUCCGUGGACGCUCCCUGGGCCCUUUAUGCAUUCCCUGUGGUCACUGUCACAAAUGACCACCAACUUGGUGGCUUCAGACCUCACACAUAUAUUCUCUGACCAUUUUGGGGGUCAGAAAUCUGACAUGAGCCUCCCGGGGCUAAAACCCCGGCGCGGGCAGGGCUGGUCCCCCCGGGGCCCCCGGGAGACCCGGCUCCGGCCUCUUCCUGGCCCGCGGCCCCCCCUCCAUCCUCACCGCCAGCAGCGCGGGGUCUGCCCGUCUCUGGGACUCCCACCCUCUGCCUCCCCCUCGUGAGGACGCCGGGCGCCCCGGGAACCCAGGGUCACCCCCUCCUCGGGGGCCGUGACUUGCUCGCCCCUGCAAGUUGCCCUCUGCGUGGCAGGCAUCUAUUCACAGGUUCCAGGGGCCAAGAUGGGGGCUCCUGGGCACCUCGACUCCUCUCUGCUCUGCAGAAGGGGGGCACAUGCGCAGGAGGACGGGCCUCAGACCUGGACCGUCAGUGGCAGCUCCUUGCUCUCGGACGCUGGGUCGCUGGCCAACACCCAGCCCCUGAAGGCUGCGCACCGCAUCACAGAGCAUCUGUGAAGUCCCCAGGGAUGUCCCACUCCACCUCUGCUGUGGCUGGAAAGUCCGGGGACAAAGCAGACGCAGAGGGGCUCUUCCUAAGGGCUGUCACUGGGGGCAUUUUGCAUGUUAACAAGGAAGAACAACAGAAACAAACAGCCCAUAGUGGGACUGACUGAAUAGUUUCAGACUUUCCUGGUGUGGGGGGCGCGGAGUCUACAGUGGGGUCUUGCUGGGGUGACUCUGUGGUCAUCACAAGUGGGGGGCUCCUGGCAUUGAGGGGUGGGGCCAGGCAUGCUGCUCAGCCCCCACAGUGCCCGGAAUGCCCCGCAGGGAGGGCCCCAGCCCAGGGUCCGCGGUGCCGGCGAGGAGACCUGGUCUAGGGAUAUCCAACCCCACAAGGCAGCUUUCCCAUGAAAUCUGUGUUCGGUGUUGGUCCCUCCGGGGUCAGAGGAGAAGGCCAGCUCCCAGUACCUGCUCCUGGUGCACUCCCCAUGAAUCCUUGGUGUCCAGGCGGGUCAGAACUCCUGAGGGGCCCCAGAUGCCCCCGCGGUGCAGACAGGAGGGUCUGGGGGGGCCUUUCUCUGCACUACAGCAAAGCAUCAGGAUGUCUGCAUGGAACCCCCCACCUGAGUGCUAACCCACGUGGGUCUGGAUGGACGUGUGACCCCGUAAACAGAGUAAAGGGACAGAGAAGUGAGAGGCCCAGCCCGGGAGGCCAGCUCCGGCCAGUGCAGGCAAGGGGAGGGCUUGGCAAGGCCUCAGCCACGGGGCGGCUGGGCCGCACGCUCGUCGGGGGCGUGGACAGGGAGCAAAGGACCUGCGUCAGCCACGUGGUGCUAAGAGUGGGGUUUUGCUGUCUCUUACGAAACCUUCCAGAGAAGGACACCGCCGCAGGAGCCGUGGGCCCCAGCGACUGGGAGGGAGGCAUCUCGGUGCCUGGGUGCCCAUGGGUGGCCAUGGCCGGCCGUGGGGUGCCGGGUGCCAGCGCUGGGUUUGUGGGAAACCUCUUCUGGGAGUGAGUUCAUCUCCACUCCAGUGGCCUCUGCCCCAAGAUGAGGUUUCGAUGACCCGCGUGGAAUUUCUAACAAUGAGAUCGAGUGUCUGGUUCUGCUCACGCUGACAUCCCCUUUCUCAACCGUCCAAAUUCCAUUACGCCUUUUCUUGUUACUGCAGGAAGGCAGCCAAGCCCGGGGCUGCCCAGGGAGUGCCGAGUCUCCUGUGACUCUGGCUGGGAGGGGACGUGGCUGCCGGCGGCCUCGGUGCCCCAGCCCUUGGAGUCUCCGCAGGACCCGGGACACACAGGAAGCGGAGAACGCACAGAACGCAUGAGCCUGAUCUUGCGGGAUCCGCACGGGACUUCCACAGAUGGCGGAGACUCCUGCAUUUCUGUCCCCACCCGUGAGAUCUUCCUUGCUGGCGUGGCCAGGGACGGCUGUGUUUAGGAAGCCCACGCGGCAAGGAGCGGGGGGUGAGCCCCAGGAGCCGACGGCCGCCCCAGUGACCGGCAGCAGGCACCCCGAUGCACAGCCCCACAGCUGCAAGGAAGUGAGCUCUGCUAGCACCCCGAGGGAGUCUCCAGAUCCCUGACGAAAAUCAUCGGUCUCAGAAGAAACAGCUGUGUGUCCUGUUCGGGGAGGAAGCCCACGGCCACACAGAACCGGGAGGGAGCCCAAGUGUGUCCGAGAAGGAACCAAGCCAGCGAAUAUGGAGAUCUGCUAGUCGAUCAAUUCCAGGCCAAAGAGCCGUCUGCAACGAAACACUCCUCACCGGGCCGGGCUCUUGGCUGCAUUCCAGAGCAAACUGCCGGGUACACCAGCGGACCUCUCUGUGACCAGCGCAGGCGCCCAAUGGCCCGGGGCUCCCCGCCUCACCGGACGGCUCGCCGGCCACAGUCCUGCCUCCUCCCCUGCUGCCCCCGAGCACGGGGGCCCCGCCUGCGCCCACAUGGGUCCCACGCCUGCACCGGGAGGGACACGGUCCCCUUCACGCCCGCCACGCCAAGGCAGAGACCAGGCGGAGCCAGGAUCCCGCCCCGUGUCCGAACACUCACACCUGCUGUUUCAGGCGUUUGGGAAGGCCUAUCGGCCAUGCCCUCAGCAUAGGCACGCGAUGCCGGGGCGCAAGAAGGCCCUGGCCGCGAUUCCAGCACUGCGACCCCUCCGCGGCACGCUGGGUCUUCCGCCUCUCUUCCCUACACCACUUCUUUUUAGCAGCUUUAGAGAUGUCAGCUCAGAAACCACACCACUCACCAUUUAAAAUAUACAAUUCGACGUUUUUU
Molecule: long non-coding RNA, 6393 nt
Organism: Mirounga angustirostris (Northern elephant seal)
Lineage: Eukaryota; Metazoa; Chordata; Mammalia; Carnivora; Phocidae
Exons: 2
Source: RefSeq, a predicted model, not a curated record